This 502-nucleotide long non-coding RNA is filed under the name Coturnix japonica (Japanese quail). Its description in RNAcentral is "lncRNA (ENSCJPG00005018330.1)". Lineage: Eukaryota; Metazoa; Chordata; Aves; Galliformes; Phasianidae. The record is from RNAcentral.
GUUGUCUGUGCUCCUCUCAAGAUAUAGUUCAAGUAUAAUUUAGUGUUUGUAACCAAAUCUGAUUAUUUUCAGAGGCGAAAGGCAACUGAAGUCUGAAUGUGGUCCUGUGGGAUGAAACCUUGGAGCCCUUCAGGCUGCUUGAAGUUUGUUCAUUGAUCUAACUGGAGACUUCUACUUAUGUGUUUUCAGAAGAAUGAGGACAGAGGAGAAUGUCUUUUCUUCACCCCUCAGGGAAAAGGCUGGUGUUCAUCUGGAUCUCACCCUGCUGUGGGCGGCUGGGCUGUGCAUAGCUAUCCUGUCCUCAAACCUAGAGACAUACCCUCUAUCUUGAAAGUUCUGCCAUCCAUUUGUGUGGAUUCAUGGGUAAGAUCAGGGUUUAAGAAGAUGGGCAACCAUACAGAAUGCUUAUUUGCUUAAGAAAAGAAAUGUGUUUAUAAAUGUUUAGCUAAUCAAUUACUAUGAUAUUACUGUGAUAUUAAUUAAAUUUCACAUAAUAAUAAUU